ACAUACGCGUAGUUUCGUCUUUGUGUAAAGUUAUGUUUAAUCAUAAGAUAAAGAUAUGGCUAGUUGCUUACCCAACAAUUAUUUUGAAUGAUAGUUGAUGCAGACUUUAAGUGUUUCUUGUUUGAAAUUUCGUAUAUUUUAUUAAAUUUAUAUGAUAAUGGAAGUUUCACGUUUAGAACCUUGUAUUCAAUUACAAUUAUCAAGAGAAGAAUUAGAAAAUGUUGUAGAUAAGGCUAAGGAUUGGGCCCUUAUGCAUGGUAUUAGUAUGAGAUCAAAAGUAUCCUUUAAUAAAAAUCAGGUACAAGUUUUACCAUUUACUUUAUUACCAUCAAGUUUUCCUAGGAAAAAUUUUGAGAAAGCUAAAGGUAUACAAGUAUUAUUGAAUGAACUGAUACAUAAGGUUGCACAUGAUAAUAAUUUUCUAACAAAAAGUUUAAAAAGUACAAUCGAUGCAGAUCCAUUUACAGCAAAAUUAUUCAACAUAUAUGAAACUAUAUAUAAGGAAGGAUUUAGUCAAACUUUAAGUCUUGGUUUACUUCGAUCAGAUUACAUGUUACAUGAGAAUCAGAUUAAACAAGUUGAAUUAAAUACUAUUGCAAGUAGUUUCGGAGGAAUAGUUACAGUUACUACUCAGUAUCAUAAAUAUAUCUUAUCAGAAGUUGGACAUGCGGAUAAAAUAAAAAAUAUCCCAGAAAAUAAUCCAAUCAAUGGACUCUGUAAGGGGCUAAUAUAUGCAUGGAAAUUAUAUGAUAAUGAAAAGGCUGUAAUAUUAUUUGUUGUUGAAACUAUUACUUAUAAUAUAUGUGAUCAGAGAUUUCAUGAAUUUGAAAUUUCUAAAAUUAAUCCUGAUAUUAAAAUAAUCAGAAGAAGUUUAAGAGAUUUAGUGUCUGAAGCAAAGUUGGGACCAAAUAAACAAUUAAUAGUUGGAGAUUUAGAAGUUUCUGUAGUUUAUUUUCGUUCUGGUUAUGAAGUUGAAGCUUACCCCACUGAACGAGAAUGGGAAAUUAGAUUAUUAAUCGAACGUUCAAAAGCAAUAAAAUGUCCAUCAAUACAAUAUCAUCUAGCUGGUACUAAAAAGGUACAACAAUCUUUAGCUUAUCCUAAUGUACUUAACGUACUUUUAAAAGAUGAUAAUACAAUAAAACAAAUCCAAGAGGUAUUUGCUGGACUUUAUUCUUUAGAAUUUAAUAACGAAGCAGAAGUAAUAAUUGAUAAUGCUAUGUCAGAUCCUAAAAAGUAUGUUUUAAAACCACAAAGAGAAGGAGGUGGAAACAAUGUUUAUAAUGAAGAUAUAAAGACUCAUUUAGAAUCCAUGAGAAAUUCAGAAGAAAGAACAGCUUGGAUAUUAAUGGAUCGUUUUUAUCCUCCUGUGCAAAAGAAUUAUAUUGUACGUGGCCAUAAUGAGCCAUUUGAAGAUAAUCAUUUGGAUUUCUCUGAUGUUGUAUCAGAACUUGGUGUUUAUGGUGUCAUUAUAGGAAAUAAUAAUGAUAUUAUAUAUAAUGAAGAGGUAGGACAUAUUCUGAGAACAAAACCAUCAAAUGAAAAUGAAGGAGGAAUAGCAGCUGGAAUUGGAGCUAUUGAUAGUCCUUAUUUAAUUAGUUAAUACAAAAGAUAUUCCUAUAGUUGCGAAUUACCGGAUAUAGUUCAAAAUAGAUUCUUUAGAUUCGUCAUCUGAUUGAUCGAAAUUGAGAAGUUUCACCAUUUGUUUUUUGCCCUUCUCUGGUAUAUUUUCAUUGUGAUUCUAAAUAUAAAAAAACAUAUAUGUUUUCUACAACUGAAUAUGAUGUGGUAAACCAGAAAUAUAAUUGAGCGAGGGUGUGAACUCAUUUCGUUGCUGGUAUGAUGGAUUUUGGAAAUGGAUACUGCAAGUAGGAUGAGAAGCUAAUAUUUCCGACUAAAAGUGAAUUAUCGAUUAAUUUACCUGAGAUUAUUUUUCUUUGAAAAGCGUGGUUUAAUUUUUUGGUAAUAAAAGUAGGCUGACGCAACUACGAUA
Molecule: RNA transcript, 1993 nt
Organism: Bombus pyrosoma
Lineage: Eukaryota; Metazoa; Arthropoda; Insecta; Hymenoptera; Apidae
Gene name: glutathione synthetase-like
Exons: 13
Source: RefSeq, a predicted model, not a curated record